UUGCUAAAGUAGAUAGGUGACUGUUUGUAUCUCCCUCUUGCCUUCUGCUCCCCCCAUUUUCAUGACAGUCUUCUCUGCCAGCGUCACCUGGCUUCAGUUAGAAAUACAGGAAUAAACAGGAAAAUUACUCACAGCAGACUGUUUGAGGGUCAUCCCAACUGUUGCCUACCUGAACCAAGAAUCAAAUCUUACAGUAGCACUGCGCUGUACUACUUGGUUGGAGAUCUACUGGUAUCCUAGUAUUGGAAAAGACCUAACAGGUCGUGAUUCCUGGGCAGAUGCUUAUUCCUAUCUCUGGCUGCUGACCCUUGGUUUGACUUUCUGGUUCCUGAAUUUUGGCCACGAACAUUCGGCUCCCUUCCCAGCUCUGGACACAGGCCCUAACCUUUGGGCUGAAUAGCCUGGGCUCCAGCCUGUAAUCCUAGAUGGCCACCAGGUCAUCUGUAGUAGACUGUACUCUAAUUUAUUUAGUCACAAAUGAACUCUAAGAGAUAAGUCUGGGUGUUGGUUUUGUUUUUUUUUUUUUUUUAAAUUAUGACAAGUGCAGCUAUUUAUUUGCAAACUGGUCUUUUAUCUGUAUUUUUCUAGAUUGCUAAAUGUGAACUUCUACUUUCCAUUAGUUAUCAUAUUGUUCUAAUGGCCAUCUUUUCUUUGGGGAGAAUAUAAUCAUAUCUCAGCCAGUGGAGCAAGUGAGCAGAACUGUUAGCAUUUAUAAAAAUUUCAAAUUGGUGGCUAUAAGUUGAAUAAAUUACAUCAGAAAAGGCAAUAGUGUCAGAACUUCCAUUUCAUUUCUAUAUGAAAUGUUAUGUUACUGAUAUACUGUAUCCAUGAUCUACUUAUGGGAGUUCAUAAUGUCAUUCCAACACACAUGACAUAAGAGUGUAAACAGACACUCAAAUAUGGUCAGUCCUGAAAGUGUGUCAUGACUGAAACUUGAUGAAAAUAUGAGUUAUGAAGUUCACAAAGUAUGAAGAUAAAUUUCCAGAAAGAGGAAGAACUGAAACUUAUAAUGUGUGUUAAAUGUUCAGGUGGAAGAAGGGUCAGAUUGCUUUGGAAGGAGAAUAAAUGGAGAAGGAGUACAAAGCUGAGUUGUAAAAUGAACUUAAUCAGUUACAAGUAAUAUGGAAUAGGCAAUAAUGUGAAGCUGAGUGAAAAGAAAACUGCUUUUAGAUAUCCUAUAUAUGUUACAUUGCUCAUACACAAAGAUGGUAUAGCAUAGACAUUUAUAUACACAUGCUCAACAGAAAAUAAAAGUCACAAGAUCUGGGUGAAUUUUAUUUCAUUUUGCCCAUCAGAAGUUCAGGAAUAAAAAGUUCCCUGUUGAUGCAAUGUUUUUGCUUUGUAAUAUUUUGAUGGUGCUGGGUAUCCAAAAUCACAGUAAUAAAUGAUCCAUCUGUCCUGUUCCUGUGUCAAAAUAUGUGACAGUUGUCAAUCUAGGAAAAGCAUGCUUCUUACUUUGAUGUAGCUUAAAGGCAAGUUAUAUUAUAGUCUGUUGUUCAUGGCUGUUUCAUAGAAAUGUGAAGCUUGCUUAAUUUUAGAGCUUAAAUCAAGGCACAUCAAUAUGGAAACAUUUAGAUUAACUUUUUUAUUAAAUUAUACAAACUUCCUUGCUAAACCCAUCUCCUUAUGCCCUUUGACAAGAGGAACUGUCAUUUACUAGAGGAGUUUUCCUCUAAAUACUUUUUUUUCCUCUGAAGCAGGCUAGCUCAGAUGAGGGAUAGCAAGUUGUUUGUGGAAUUUAGCUAAGAUGAGACUCUCCUUUGCUUUGUGUAAGUGAAGAGGAUGGUGGAAGCAGCAAGUUUAGUGUAUUGCUUUGGUGUGUUUCUUCCAAAUUGGUCACGUACCUUAAUAAGAUUUUACACACUUUUGUUAAAAUAUCAGUUCAGAGAAGGAAAUCUGGUGAAAUAAAACAAGUGCCUUCUUCAAUUAGUUGUCGUCCAGUUAAAAUUUGUUAGUAUAAAAAGCUACAGCAGAACAGCAGGGCAUAGCUUUUGUCUAAACUGAGAAUUUUUACUUCGUGUAAAGCUCUUUAAUGGAACUGCCCAUGAUUUCAUGUGACAUUCACCUUGCAUAAUGACAUCUUUUUUUUUCCCCCUCCAAAUGAAUUAAAAAUGGAAAGUACUUCCAGUACCUCUUGGUAGGUACCAAGAAGUCAGAUCCCUUGGUACCAUGGAGGUCCUUUCUUCAUUACAGGCAGGUAGUUUCCAUUAUUCAUGCGAGGUACCAUUUCAUUUAAAGUCCCAUCAUUACUUAAAAAGCAAGAUAUUAAUGAGAGAUGUUACUGGAGUGUGGUCUUUUAAUUUGAUAUUGUUCGAUCCAGCUGUUUUAAAAUUUCUAAGAAUAAAGCUUCCAUUACCUUAUAUUAGAGAAGAUUUUUAUAGGCAAGAACAUCUAAUUCUUGUCUAGUUUCCCUUGAUAGCCAAUUGCCUUUCCUAAAUCUUCACUAUUUACUUCUUGGUUAAUCCUUUUGCUUUGCUUUAAAUAAUUUCUCUGAUUCCUAGAUAUCCAUACAUUGCAGUUAGUUAUAUACAGAUAUUUUUCAUACCACCCCCAUCCACUUAGCUGGUGAGUAGCCAAGUAAUACAUACUUAGCACUUUUAAUUUUACCUCAUAAAUCAAUCAUUGUAGCUGCAAAAUCAGUUACAUUUUUUCUUAAACCAUCAUUCAAUACAAAGAGUCCAUUAUGCAUGUCUGUGAAUAAUAUAUUAAUUGUGUGGUUUAAAAUCAUAAACAACAUUACACAAUUAACUACAUAAAAUUGCUCACUUUGAAAACUGUAUAACUACAAUUUCUAUAAUAGUAGCUAAAAGACGACAGCAUUAAGCCGGGCAUUGUCACUCUGAAUUGCCACUGGUAAAGCAGAGGCCUCUUAAAUGUGCAAUUAUGAUAAAGGGAAAGCGUAUUCCUUGUUUCAGAUUUAUUGCUUUAAGUACUUUUCCAAAGGUUUUCACCUUAUUUUGUAUUGCUGUGCACUAAUGGUGUGAGACAAGAUUACUUCGGUGAAUGGCUUUAUUAAUGUAAAGAAAUAUUACUAAAGUUUUUUUUAUAACUGGAUUUAAACAUCUUUUUCA
This is a long non-coding RNA of Lepidothrix coronata (blue-crowned manakin), 3071 nucleotides long. RefSeq lists it as uncharacterized. NCBI's taxonomy places the organism in Eukaryota, Metazoa, Chordata, Aves, Passeriformes, Pipridae. The transcript is spliced from 3 exons. The record is from RefSeq and is a predicted model, not a curated record.